Puntigrus tetrazona (Sumatra barb) is the source of this 595-nucleotide non-coding RNA. Lineage: Eukaryota; Metazoa; Chordata; Actinopteri; Cypriniformes; Cyprinidae. The record is from the annotation of a RefSeq genome assembly.
AGUACGGGUUUUAGGGGAGGUGCUACUGUAUCUCUUCUAGACAGUGAGGGUUUGCUGUCUGACGGUCUGUGCAGCAGAUGAACUCAUCCACUGCAGAAGGAUGCUCAGCUUUUUACUCUUUUUCUGUACUCUUGCAUAUGUUAGUUUUGGGAAUGUCAUCACACCAGUCCAACCUGAGGUGUUUGGGACCGAGGAGGACAAGAUAACUCUGUCCUGUAACUACUCUUCAGCAGUUAGUCUGCACUGGUAUCGCCAAUAUCCCUAUUCGGCUCCUGAAUUUCUUUUGCUACUGCUACAUGGGACAGGGAAAGUUUCAAAGAGGUCCAAAAUUGUCGAACAAGAUCCUCGAUUCUCUGGAAAAGUGAAUGAAAAGAAAACCCGUGUGGAUCUGGAGAUCUCCUCCGUUACAGUGACAGACUCUGCAGUGUAUUACUGUGCCCUGGAGCCCACAGUGACAGGAAACAUGACAACUCUGUACAAAAACCUGACUUAUGUUAAUCAUCCAGCAACAUUUGUCAUGUUUUGAUAUAUCUUUUAAGGCGGUUUUCUGUAGAACUUUUAGAAUUGUAUCUGAUGAUAAAUUUUGUUUAUAACU